GCUGUCGUCGAUCCUGAAAUUCUGCGUUUAAUUUAUGCAGGAAAUCAAUUCUGCUUCCAGAUAUAUGCGGGGUGUCGUCAGGGAACCAACAAAAGAGGAAAGCGGAACAGCCAUGCAUCCGAUAUCCUAACUCCCCCCUUAUUGCAAAUUUGCAAGACACUCGAGCAAUAUUAUUGCCACUUCACCACCGGCGCAGAAACCCUGCAAAUUGGGUCUUCAUGAUUGGUGUGAGUCCGCAAGAUGGGGCUCAGCAACCUGACCAGCUGCCCACUAGCCCGCGCUCUAGUGCCUGGAAUGUGCUUGAAUUUUGGGCCUUUGCUCAGUCAGGCAGCAUUUCUUUGGGGGCCAUCUCGGUGAUACCUGCCGGUCUUAGUUGUCUGAAAAGAUGUUGUGAAAUCCUGCUGCUGCAGGGUCCCUGGGACAACAGGCAAGCCGUCAACAACGGAUGGGAGAUUGUUUGUCUACGAAAGCUGUC
This 475-nucleotide small RNA is filed under the name Histoplasma ohiense. Its description in RNAcentral is "hypothetical lncRNA". Lineage: Eukaryota; Fungi; Ascomycota; Eurotiomycetes; Onygenales; Ajellomycetaceae. The record is from RNAcentral.